Molecule: ribosomal RNA, 483 nt
Filed under: uncultured bacterium
Lineage: Bacteria
Description: bacterial SSU rRNA
Rfam family: Bacterial small subunit ribosomal RNA
Source: RNAcentral
AACGAACGCUGGCGGCAUGCCUAACACAUGCAAGUCGAACGGGAUCCUAGCUUGCUAGGUGAGAGUGGCGGACGGGUGAGUAACACGUGGGAAUCUGCCUUUUGGUUCGGGAUAACCGCGGGAAACUGCGGCUAAUACCGAAUGCCCUCGAGAGAGGAAAGAUUUAUCGCCAGAAGAGGAGCCCGCGUCCGAUUAGGUAGUUGGUGGGGUAAAGGCCUACCAAGCCGACGAUCGGUAGCUGGUCUGAGAGGAUGAUCAGCCACACUGGGACUGAGAUACGGCCCAGACUCCUACGGGAGGCAGCAGUGGGGAAUAUUGGACAAUGGGGGCAACCCUGAUCCAGCAAUGCCGCGUGAGUGAUGAAGGCCUUAGGGUUGUAAAGCUCUUUUGCCAGGGAAGAAACGGUGAGUUCUAAUACAGCUUGCUAAUGACGGUACCUGAAGAAUAAGCACCGGCUAACUACGUGCCAGCAGCCGCGGUAAU